Molecule: microRNA precursor, 125 nt
Organism: Brassica oleracea var. oleracea
Lineage: Eukaryota; Viridiplantae; Streptophyta; Magnoliopsida; Brassicales; Brassicaceae
Rfam family: MIR9563 microRNA precursor family
Source: Rfam
GGAAUAUAAGAACUCGUCUUUUAAUUUUUAACUAAAAAAAUUAAAAACCAGUUCUUAAAUCUCUUAUUUAAGAGCCGAUUCUUAGUUUUUUUAGUUAAAAGUUAAGAGACGGGUUCUUAUAUUCC